Molecule: long non-coding RNA, 1089 nt
Filed under: Cyanistes caeruleus (blue tit)
Lineage: Eukaryota; Metazoa; Chordata; Aves; Passeriformes; Paridae
Description: lncRNA (ENSCCEG00000006946.1)
Source: RNAcentral
AUGCAGGGGCCGCAGGAGAUGCAGGGGCUGCAGGAGAUGCAGGGGCCGCAGGAGAUGCAGGGGCUGCAGGAGAUGAGAUCCCUUGGCUGCAGGAGAUGCAGGGGCUGCAGGAGAUGCAGGGGCUGCAGGAGAUGCAGGGGCCGCAGGAGAUGCAGGGGCUGCAGGAGAUCCCUUGGCGUGUCGGGGCUUGGGCAGAGGGGCAGGGGACGGUGCUGGCUCUGCCUGGGGGGAGCAGAGCGGGGAAUGGUCUGGGGUGAGGCAGGAGCUAAAGCUGGGCUCGGGAUGCUCCCGGGAUGCUCCCAGGAUGCUCCCGGGAUACUCUCGGGAUGCUCCCGGGAUGCUCCCGGGAUGCUCUCGGGAUGUCCCCGGGAUGCUCUCGGGAUGCUCUCGGGAUACUCUCGGGAUACUCUCAGGAUGCUCCCGGGAUGCUCCCGGGAUGCUCCCGGGAUACUCUCAGGAUGCUCCCGGGAUGCUCCCGGAGCCCGGCCGAGGAUGCUCCCGGGAUGCUCCCGGGAUGCUCCUGGGAUACUCUCAGGAUGCUCCCAGGAUGCUCCUGGGAUGCUCUCAGGAUGCUCCCGGGAUGCUCUCAGGAUGCUCCCGGGAUACUCCCGGGAUGCUCUCAGGAUGCUCUCGGGAUGUUCUCGGGAUGCUCUCAGGAUGCUCCCGGGAUGCUCUCAGGAUGCUCCCGGGAUACUCUCAGGAUGCUCUCAGGAUGCUCCCGGAAUACUCUCAGGAUGCUCCCGGGAUGCUCCCGGAGCCCGGCCGAGGAGGCUCCUCUCGGCACGGCAGUGCUGUGGGUUGCUGGUGCCCUCUGCAGUUGUCCCUCCCAGCUGUAAACGCAAAGGAUUCAUAAUCCGAAGGAACAAUUUUAGGAGUUUUUGGUCCAGGCGAGGGCGGUGGCCCGCGGGUGUCUUCCCGGGUUUGGAGGAGCACCCCGUGCACCCCCAGCAGCUCAACCCCUGUCCCUGUCCCUGUCCCUGCUGCUCCCCAGCUGCUCCUCUGUCACCCCCAGUGUCCCCACAGGCCGAUGGCACCAAAGCCUCUGCCCAGCCCGGGCCGUGGAUGGACACAGAGCCCAGGGCCAGUUAA